This 433-nucleotide ribosomal RNA is filed under the name uncultured bacterium. RNAcentral describes it as "bacterial SSU rRNA". It matches the Rfam family "Bacterial small subunit ribosomal RNA", at positions 352 to 782 of the family's 1533-position model. The record is from RNAcentral.
CAGUAAGGAAUAUUGGUCAAUGGACGCAAGUCUGAACCAGCCAUGCCGCGUGGAGGAUGACGGUCCUCUGGAUUGUAAACUUCUUUUCUCUGGGACGAAACCCCCGAUUUCCAUCGGGCCUGACGGUACCAGAGGAAUAAGCACCGGCUAACUCCGUGCCAGCAGCCGCGGUAAUACGGAGGGUGCAAGCGUUAUCCGGAUUCACUGGGUUUAAAGGGUGCGUAGGUGGGCAGAUAAGUCAGUGGUGAAAUCUCUGGGCUUAACCCGGAAACUGCCAUUGAUACUAUUUGUCUUGAAUUCUCUGGAGGUAAGCGGAAUAUGUCAUGUAGCGGUGAAAUGCUUAGAUAUGACAUAGAACACCCAUUGCGAAGGCAGCUUACUACGGAGACAUUGACACUGAGGCACGAAAGCGUGGGGAUCAAACAGGAUUAGA